UCAAAUCAGGUAGGAUUACCCGCUGAA
Molecule: ribosomal RNA, 27 nt
Filed under: Ramaria botrytis
Lineage: Eukaryota; Fungi; Basidiomycota; Agaricomycetes; Gomphales; Gomphaceae
Description: partial 28S ribosomal RNA
Source: RNAcentral